GGGAUAUUACUAGUCUAGGGCUCCCUUCAUCUAAGUUCAAGUCCUGAGUUUUCCUCAACUAUCUAGGUGUGAUAAAACUAGGCUGCAGGUGACUGCAAGGUUUUCUUCCAGUUCACCUUAUUUUGCAGCUAUGUCCCUUUGGGAUUCCAAAUUAAGGAAAGGAUGGUUUAACACAGUAUAUAUUUUUGGUGGGUUCUGGGUUUUGACUUCUGUCUUUUUGAGCGUGGAAAUCUGCUGGACUCAGUAUUCAGCUCUUCUUUGUACCAGCAAAUACCCUCAAUACAAAGACAGCUUUGAAUGCUAGACUUACCUCUCCUGGUUCUUAUCCUCUCCUAGAUUUGAACCUGGCAAUUAUCAUUACCCUGUUGAUUCUUUGGUGCUUUUUUAAAAAGUUCAGCUUUUUUAGUUGUCCUCAGUGGGUGGAUUUGUCCUAGUUACCUUACCUUUCGUACCAGAAAUGGAAAUCUUUAUUCCCUGUUUUGCUUGGACCUAAGAAUGCCAAAGCAUUGAACUUGAAUUUAGCUCUCAUUUGUGGUUCAAAUAUGAAAAGAUCUCUCUGGACAGUAUAUGUGAACUCCCAGACUGAAAGAAGCUGAACCAGAAGGAGACACCAAAGCCUUUUGUCAGUUCCUUAGAUGGAUGGCAGGGCAAUGUGCACAAUUCCCUAUCUAGCUGUCAUUUAUCUUGAGCAGUUCUCCUGGCCUGAGGCAGGCUGCAUCCCUAUCUUCACUACUUGGUUCUCAGAUUCUCUGACAGAGCUAGGACAUGCCACCCUACAACUCCCAGAAUGCACUUCCACUAGGCUUCUCUGGUCACUAGCUCUGUCCACAGCACUCUACUUGUAGGAGACACAUUUCCCAGCAUGGAAUGAGCCUCUGCUAGUCCCCCAGUCCCAAUCUCACUUCUUUUCUAAUCGUGUUCUGGCAAUCUCUGACUGAAUGUAGAAUGAGGUGGAGCAAGGGGAAAGGAAUGGAUGAGAAGCACUCAAGAUGCCUGUUUUUCUAAUUGGUCCAGACCUUGAGUUUCUCAUCCAGGGUCAGGCAGAUCAAGGGAGGUCCUCUGUGGCACGUUUGCUCAGGUUCUGGCAUCAUUAUGUCAUGGAGCUUGUAGGCUAAAUAAUACUCCCUCCCAAAGAUGUCCAUGUCCUAAUCCCUGUGACUAUAUUACUAUACAUGGCAAAAAGAUUUGCUGUUGUUAUGAAGUUAAUGAUGUUGAGAUGAGGAAAUUAUUGUAGAUUACUCAGGUGGUCCAAAUGUAAUCACAAGGGUCCUUAUAAGAGAAAGACAGGAGAGUCAGAGUCACAGAAAGAGAUGUGAUGACAGAAACAGAGGUUAGAGUGAUUCGAGGAAGAGGACAUGAGACAAGGAGAGUAGGUGGCCUCUAGAAGCUGGAAAAGGCACAGAGAGGAAUUCCCCUCUAGCCCCUCCAGAAGGAAUGAAGCCCUGCAGACAUCUUGAUUUUAGGACUUCUGACUCCAGAGCUGUAAGAUGAUAAAUUUGUGUUGUUUUAAGUCACUAAGUUUGUGGUAAUUUGUUAUGGAAGAAUAGAAAACUAAUACAGGUGGGCCAUCAACUUAAUUUAUCAUCUAGUUCUACCACUAACUAUUGUAGUUGGUGAAAACUGUUUUCAGAUGCUGGAGAUAGGUCAACGCUAUGCUCUCAACAAAAAUUGUCGUAACUUUUGGUGAAGGUUGAGUUUUGCUUUCUUCUAUGUUGCCUGUGCUGCUGCUGCUUCUUUUUGUAUGUUCUUUAUUUGAUUUAACAUAGGCAUCUCAUUGUAAUAUGAAAACUGCCUUGUCGUUUGCAGGAUUUAUAGUAUCUUCUCUCUGAGCAGUAAAGACUCACUCCCUCUUCCUGGUGAUGGAGCAGCUUAUUUAUCACCAACCAAUUCAUGUCAGUUGUGCAUUUUCUGUGCAAAGUUCAGUGUUAAUCACCAACCCAAAUUUUGAAAGUCCUCUUGUGGAAUUAUACUGAGAUAGAACGAAAACACAAAUAUACCUUAAAAUGUUAUAAAUAUUUCAUCGAAGAAGAUGUCUUUAACAUUUUAGCUUAUGGUCUAGGUAUUUAAUUAAUAGAUUGUGACACAAUGCUGGGAAAAUACAGCACCACAUGGCUGGCAGAAAACAGGCACUCUCAGCCUCCCUGCCAUGACUGGUCCCACUCUGAGCAAGCCACUGAAUCUCCCUGUACUCCAGCUUCUCUCUCAGGAACAGUGAUUGAAUAUUUCAAAAUUCAUUUCACAUGUUAUCUAUUUAGAUAAAUUUGAAGCAAUAAAAAUAAAGAAGUCACAUUCCUUGCUCUCAAGUUCAUCAAGGGAGACAAACAGCUUAACAAAUAAUUACAAUGCACCUUGAUAAUUGCUAUGGGACAAUGACAAGACGAGCAAGUAACUGAACCAGGAGGAAAUGGUAGAGGUAUUCAUUAACUAAUUAAUUACUCUCAAAUACUACAGGCAAGCACUCUGUCGGAUGCUGGAUAAUCACUUACCCUGGGAAUAAAUAAGAAGCUGUGAAAAGAAAUGUGUUGGGACCCCCUAGAUCACAGACACUCAGGACUUCCCUGCAUCUCUACCCCUGAGAUGUCAAUGCUUAUUUUGAAGAGAUGACACUGACAUAGGCUAGACACACCUGCAGGUGUAGGGCAGCCACACCCAUGGACUUAGGAAAAACCCUACAUCUUAGCUUCUGGGACCUUGCAACCCUCUGCUCAAAAACUGCCCUUUUCAAACGCUAUCGAGCCUCAAUAACGGGGUUGGGGUGACAGUCUAUGUGAGCUGAACCCAGGACAGACUUAAAUACGUGUCUCUGAGGUUCUAACGCUGCCCACUUUUUCAUGCUCUUGCUUUAUUUCUCUCUUCUUGUCCUAAGUAGAGGGGUUCAAUUUCACAGUCACAAAGUCUGAUGCUCCCAAAUGUAAGUUUGUUUUCCUGUACUUGAACUUAGCUUAGUUCUCAAAGACCCCAUUCUCAGGUUGUGGUAGAAAAGCUAAUCUUGCCAAUUCCACCACUUCUGAUUUAGAACACAUCUCUCUGGCUUCAAUACUCAGAAAUCUCUGCAUUCCUCUUUUCCCUUCUUCCCUUCCUCCCAGAAGGAAUACAAGGUGAAGAGUUUGUGUAUCAUCAUACACACGAUGGUGUCAGGGAAGAGGCAUUGGUCCUCCGCAGGCUCUUCUCCCUGGACAUCCACAACUGAUGUUACUUGUCCCUUCUCUUGGCAAAACAUGUCUUCAGGGCUGCUCUGGGAGCUGGGUGUGCUGACCAAGAGUCUACUUGGCUCCAGCCAAGGUGAUUGCCCUCUGUGCUGUCCACCUCCUGGAUCUGCUACAGGGUCUGCUCACCUCAUUCCUCACCAUCCUCUUGGCCUAGGACUCUCCAGACCCACCUUCCACACCCUUACUUGGGUGUGUGGAAAGUUCAGAUUUCCCCUUUGUCCUGUGGGAGGGCUGACUCAGAUCCCCUCUGCUAAAUCCACUUCACUGCCUCUCCUACUUGCCUGUGGCUGUCCUAUGUUGAUGUGGGGUGUUCUUUGGACUGUCUCCUCCUACAGUUAAGCAGAAUGUUCUGGGCACAAGACUCUAUGUUCCCAAAUCUCCAAGACUAUCCAAAAAUUUAUUAACAACUCUGUCUCCCACCCAGGUUCAACACUGAGCUGAGGGCGAAAAGAUGAAUGCAAUGUUAACAUUUGAGUUUUCUUGAUUUCCUUUUCUAAUCCACCCUAAGACUUUUUCCUAGACCACAAAAGGGUCUUAUUCUUCCCUGUUCUCUGGUUUUUGAAAUACACUCUAGGCCAGGGUUGGCAAACUAUAGUUCAUGUGGCAAAUUGGCUGCAGCCUGUUUUUGUAAAUGAAGUAGUGUUGGAACACAACCACACCCAUUUGUUUAUUUAUUUUCUGUGAGCUACCUGUUACAAUGGCAGGUUGAGUAAUUGAGAUGAGGACUAUUGGACCCCUUACAGAAAGAGUUUAUUGACCUCUGUUCUAGGCUCUGAAGCCUCUAGGUUUGGCACCAGAUAUUUAAAGCUAAGCUUUCUGAAUCCAAGAAAAUCUACCCCUCCCCAACUCCCAUCCUAUUGCUUGGUUCUUGCAAUUGAAGCCAUGACUUGAAGACCCUCAGAACUCAAAGCCAAGAAUGGAACUGUUUUCCUAGGAUUCCGUUGUGUCUUCCCUUCCUUAGCACAGUAAGCCAGGUCUGGUUUUAAUGAUGAAAAGAGAAAAUGUAUCAAUUAAUAUUUCAAAAGGUCCCAUGACACUUUAUCUCUGUCUGUCUGCUGGUUGUUUCUGUGGCUUCAUCCCAGGUAGACAGCUUGCUGGGACCAGUGCAGUGAGCUUUCUAACAGCCUACAAAAGCAGUAAUUUUCCCAGAGGAAAUCAAAGAGAUGCUGGCUCUUACCAAGCUGUUUUUGGGCAGGUUUACCAAAUGCGGGAAUCAUUGAAUGUUUGAGCUAGAAAAGAUGAUAAUGUCCAUCAUCAUCUUCAUGCCCUCCCAUCCUCCCCACACUUUUACGAUGAAGACAUAGACGUGGAGAGGGUAAUGAGGAGAAAGGAGGAGUGGGCUUGUCAGGAACACACAGCACAAAUUGUAGUCCUUUUCUCCCUUCUAUUUCCUGUUCCUGUGCUGAAACAGAUCCUGAGAGCAGCAAGGAUCCAGGCAUCAGGGAAGGAAGAAGAUGAAAGUCACAGCUGGACUACACAGUCACAAAGCAUCUGGUCUGUAUAAUUAAGGGGAGCUGAGAAAAUACAAUUAGCCAAACAUGCAGGAAGUCUACGGCAAAUCUUCAUGACAGAAAUGUAGCCAAAGACCAUAUUCCUUCUUGGAUGAAGACUUUAUUCAUCGACUCACGUGGAAUGUAAACACCCUGCAUUGCUCCACUCCGGGAAGACGUUUCUUUUUGGCUCCCUCUGGUGGUUGAUCUGUUUAAAAACCUAUUUGUACAAGCUGCUGCUUCACCCUCUGGUCCCAUUCCUGAUUCUGGAUGCAUGUAUAAAAAGCCCUACUUGUUGGCUUAGGAAUUACCCUAGCAGGUGUACAUGAGCAUGACUUAAGGUCUAGUUCAAAAGUAAGUGCUAUUUGGACUGUUAAGAAGAAGAAUGCUAGAGUAAGAACUCAAAGCAACAAUAGUGAAAACUUCUAAAUAACUACAAAACAUCAACAGAUGUACACCAAGCCAUCCUCUAGAAAGGAUGGGGUGGUUAUGUGAAUGCCGACAUCCACACUUCGGUGUGCUUUGGACAAGCCUCACACCUGUAUGACACAGUUAAGUAUCCAUACUUGGGACAGACCAUUUGAUUGCAUGUUAUGGAACAUGACUGGUGUUAUUAUUAAAGGGUCGGUUAUAAUAGAGAAAGGCUGUUCUAACCACAAGGAUGUGAAUAGUUUCAUAUGUAAUGACGUAUGUGGAUCCCAAAGAGUGAAGUAUUUCUAAGUAAUUCAGUUUAAACUACUCCUUGGAUACAUUUUGUCAAAUGGUGAAUAAAGCUGAUCUGAAACAACAACAAAACACAAAUCAAAUGCCCCCAGGAAGCCUAACUGUAAUCUGUGGCUGCAAAUGGGGCUCCUGUAAGAGCAAUAACCCAUACUUCAUUGCCUCAUUUGCUGAGUGAAAUAUUGGUAAGGCACACGGCCUCUGGAGUUGACUUGUCUGGAUUCAGAGCCAAGACCUCGCUCCCCGCUGCAUGUAACCUUGGGCGAGUUGAUCAGUCUCUUGGCCCAUCCUUGCUUCACUCACUUGUACAAUGCAGUAGUGCUUGUUGUAUGGGGGGUGGUGAGGAUUAAAUGAGUUAGUGUCAGUAAGAGCUUAGGACAGGACUAUGCACAUGUGCCUGAGUAACUGAUAACUAUCCCUAGUUAUUUCACCACAUUGACUCCCUCAUUCUUCAUCCCCCUGGGUCCUCACGUUGUCCCACAUUUGCUCACAAACACAUAACAUCUGCCAUGAUCUCUUGGUCCUCCUAUGACCCUGCCUGCAGAGCUAGGUGACAGUAUCUUGUCACCACCUCCAGGGCCCACCACCAUGCUGUAGUGGACAUCUCUGGGGAUGACUGCUUGACUCAUCAUCACCCUCCCUCCUCUGGCCCCCAUGGCCCCAGGUGAUCUCUAUGACCCUGGCCCUCUUUGUGGUGAGUAAUUUAGAAGUGUCCCUUGAGCUGUGCUGUGACAAGCAGUACCUGUCCUCUGUGAAUCUGAAAUUUGGAAUGAACAGGCUCAGAGGUUGCCUGUUGCUGGAGCUGAGGCAUGCUAUUAAGAAUGUUCUAGAGAGAAGGUUUUGUGAGCUUAGACAACAGCCACAUCCCCAGCCACACCUUCUUCAACUUCUGAGUCAGUUCCUGUUCUUCGAAAGCUGGAGGGUGGAAGCCUGCCCCAAUCAAAGCGCCUUUCCGCAUCUCCACCCCUGGUCCUUAGUGGGGAUUUCUGCCUCAAAGCACAAAGUUCUCUACCACUCCCUUUAAGUAGCAGGCUGCAAAUAGCCUGUCCAACGAUUCUUUCCAAGUUGAAAGUAGGUGUUUCGCUUGUAAAGCUGGAGCAGGCAGAAGAGUCACCAUCUGGAGAGGAAUGGAGAGCAUUUGUAAAAUGAGUAUAUCUCCUGUUUUCCAUGGCAUCAGGCAUUUAAAAAUGUCACAGAUGGCUUCACUAAGAUUGCGGACAAUGUGCAGAAAUCAAAACAUGUUUGUUUAUUUGUGUCUUGAGUUUCACGUUGCAGGACUAGUCAGGAGGCAAAUUGGUAUAAGGAACACUGGCUUUGCAGUCCGGGCAAACUCAGGUUCAAAAGCCAUGCCCACCCUAACACGUGUUCUUGUGAUCACAAGGGAUUUACUUAACUUCUCUGAGCAUCAGUUAUAUUGUCUGUAAAAUCAAAAUGGCAAUAUGAUACCACACAGGACUCCUUAAACUGCAAGUGAUAGAAACCCAACUUGAACUUGCUUAAUCCAAAAAAGGGGCUCUAGGAUUAGCUCAUGUAGCCCAGCAAAGGAGCUGGCUGGAUUUAGGGACUGGAUCACCAGCAGGACUCUCUGUCAAGUUCUCAUCUUUGCUUACCUCUGAAUAUUGAUUUCAUUCUCUCCUUCUGAAGAUGGGCAGCAUUCAAUGGCAGGGAAUGUUCUAGACUUACGUCUUUCCAGAUAGAGAAAUUUUUCUUUGAACUUCCACUGAAGACACUUCCAGGGAGUUUGAUUCCUCAGCCAAAGACCCCUCCCCGGUGCGGACCAAUCACGGGGCCAACGGGAGGAGGCGCUAUGCUUGCCUCAGCCUGGGUGACGGCUCUGUGAGCAGGUGGUAGCAUAGUGAUGCUUUCGAGGAAGUCACUAAGAGCUGUCCCAAUGUGUCCACUUCCUCACAGUAUCUUUGUGAUUUCAAGGAAGUGACCUAGUAAAGCACCUGCUCCUGGAAUAGUCCCUCUAGUGACAGGACUCCUGGAGGAACUCUGGGGAAAAUGUGGGCAUCUUGGCCUCUCUGUUUCUCUGACACUUCAGAUUCAUUGUGUCCAACUUGGCACUUAGACUUCUCUCCGCAUAUCUUCCUGACUCGCUGCUUCUGUAGAUAGCCCCAGGUCUGAAGCUAUGCCUGCACCUUUGAUAUCUCCAGGCCCUCACAGCCUGACACUGCUUCUACUGCAGCCUGUGGCUCUCCUCUGCACCCUCUUUUCCAUUCCCAUAGUCAUCACUGUGGUCCGUUAUCCCUCAACUUCCUAAGCAGGAGCUAGCUCUGAUCUUGUCACUGCCCUGCUUCAAAAUAAGAGUGGCCGUCAUCACUUCCCAAAUGAGGGAGAGACUCUGCAGCUCAGCACUGAAGGAUGCCACAAUAUUAUCCUGAACAACUUCUGAGCCAUCCUUGCAGCAUUGUGUGUUCAGAUCCUGCUACUACAGAGCAAACAAAGAGAGAAAAACCUGGGAGGACCAGUGUAAAGAAACGAGCAAGAAGGAGUGGGGCUGACUGGGAGCAGGUUGCUAGGCAACUGUGUAGCAAUGAAAUCUGUGCUGAGGCAGAUGGUGCCAGAAGCCAAUGGAAACUCCUGCAUUCUUCGAUUUAUGUUUUAGUUGGAAAGACUCAUCAAUUUAAGAUGCUAUCUGACAGAAUUUCAUGAAGGCAUUUGGUUCUGAUGCUUAUUAUGUUGGGACUCAAGAAAUUUUUCUCUCUUUAGUGGUGAAAAAAUCUGUAAACUACUGGUGUUUUGGGGGAGGAAUGUGUGUGGGGCAAUUGGUGGGUAUAGAGUGGGAGAGAUUUUCUAAGUAGCAAAGAAGAAUAAAAUAAAAGUCAG
Molecule: long non-coding RNA, 8248 nt
Filed under: Equus caballus (horse)
Lineage: Eukaryota; Metazoa; Chordata; Mammalia; Perissodactyla; Equidae
Description: lncRNA (ENSECAG00000053392.1)
Source: RNAcentral